CAAGGAAGUUGCACAGAACUUCCCCAACAUCCUCUCCCAAACUGAUAUUGAACCUUCAAAAACACAUGGAGCAACUGUGGAAAGAAAUGGCUGAGGAUAUGCUAAAAAUGUCUGAGUUCAACAAAGCCAACAACUGCUUCAUGUGUGCCACUGAUACAGAACCUGGAUGUGCCUCAAAGACUGACUGGAUUGACUGUAUUGCAUGCCAACGGUGGUUCCAUGUGCUGUAACUAAGUAUGAAGACACGAGAGUUCAACAGAGUAAAGAACACCAACUGGAAGUAAGGUCUUUGUUGUUGAAAAUGUAUGCUGUACCCCAUCCACACUGAAGAGGCUCUGUAAUGCACCAGGGAUAAAGAGAAAGUUAACAAUGAAAUGUUUCGUACUUAUUUGAAGUUAAGUGUCUGUUGACAUGUUGAA
Long non-coding RNA from Oncorhynchus keta (chum salmon), 419 nucleotides. RefSeq lists it as uncharacterized. Lineage: Eukaryota; Metazoa; Chordata; Actinopteri; Salmoniformes; Salmonidae. The transcript has 3 exons. The record is from RefSeq and is a predicted model, not a curated record.